GAUGAACGCUGGCGGCGUGCCUAAUACAUGCAAGUCGAGCGAACAGAUGAGGAGCUUGCUCCUCUGACGUUAGCGGCGGACGGGUGAGUAACACGUGGAUAACCUACCUAUAAGACUGGGAUAACUUCGGGAAACCGGAGCUAAUACCGGAUAAUAUAUUGAACCGCAUGGUUCAAUAGUGAAAGACGGUUUUGCUGUCACUUAUAGAUGGAUCCGCGCCGCAUUAGCUAGUUGGUAAGGUAACGGCUUACCAAGGCAACGAGGCGUAGCCGACCUGAGAGGGUGAUCGGCCACACUGGAACGGAGACACGGUCCAGACUCCUAGGGGAGGCAGCAGUAGGGAAUCUUCCGCAAUGGGCGAAAGACUGACGGAGAAACGCCGAGUGAGUGAUGAAGGUCUUCGGAUCGUAAAACUCUGUUAUUAGGGAAGAACAAAUGUGUAAGUAACUAUGCACGUCUUGACGGUACCUAAUCAGAAAGCCACGGCUAACUACGUG
RNAcentral lists this ribosomal RNA (497 nucleotides) under uncultured bacterium. RNAcentral's name for it is "partial 16S ribosomal RNA". It matches the Rfam family "Bacterial small subunit ribosomal RNA", at positions 28 to 507 of the family's 1533-position model. The record is from RNAcentral.